GGCCUUGUGGCGCAAUGGUAGCGCGUUUGACUCCAGAUCAGGAGGUUGUGUGUUCAAAUCGCAUCAAGGUCA
Merluccius polli (Benguela hake) is the source of this 72-nucleotide non-coding RNA. The record is from the annotation of a GenBank genome assembly. Lineage: Eukaryota; Metazoa; Chordata; Actinopteri; Gadiformes; Merlucciidae.